GACGAGCGCUGGCGGCGUGCCUAACACAUGCAAGUCGAGCGAAUGAAGUUCCUUCGGGAAUGGAUUUAGCGGCGGACGGGUGAGUAACACGUGGGCAACCUGCCUCAUAGAGGGGAAUAGCCUUCCGAAAGGGAGAUUAAUACCGCAUAAGAUUGUAGUAUCGCAUGAUACAGCAAUUAAAGGAGCAAUCCGCUAUGAGAUGGGCCCGCGGCGCAUUAGCUAGUUGGUGUGGUAACGGCUCACCAAGGCGACGAUGCGUAGCCGACCUGAGAGGGUGAUCGGCCACAUUGGGACUGAGACACGGCCCAGACUCCUACGGGAGGCAGCAGUGGGGAAUAUUGCACAAUGGGGGAAACCCUGAUGCAGCAACGCCGCGUGAGUGAUGACGGCCUUCGGGUUGUAAAGCUCUGUCUUCAGGGACGAUAAUGACGGUACCUGAGGAGGAAGCCAUGGCUAACUACGUG
This 464-nucleotide ribosomal RNA is filed under the name uncultured bacterium. Its description in RNAcentral is "partial 16S ribosomal RNA". It matches the Rfam family "Bacterial small subunit ribosomal RNA", at positions 28 to 507 of the family's 1533-position model. The record is from RNAcentral.